UCCAAUGUCUGAGUGACAUGUAGGCUUCACAACUUAACUAUCAUGUAGACGCACAUCAGGAUUUACGUCUACCCCUUCGCCUCCCUCUCCAAUGGCUUUGCCCGGCCAGUUCUCUUUUCAGUUUUGACCAUGGCGCCAGAUCCAAAUGCUAGUGGUAGCAGCACAGUUCUGUCGAAGGAGCUAAAGAGGAAGAAGGAUGACAAAAAGGGGGAAGACCUGGUGCCUGUCGAAUGAAGAUUUGGCGUUGAAACAACAAUUAGAGUCGUAUGUGGAAAGGGCUCAGGAUCCUGAUCCUGGAUUGCAGAAGGUUGCGCUUGAGAGCAUGAGGGUUCAUGUUUGGGCUUAUAUAUUGAUGUAGAAGUUGUGGGCAACAGAGAUGGUGCGAAAUUAAAGGUGGGCGAAGGACUGGUAGCGGCGAAACUGAUGGACAACAGAACUGGUGUCGUGCGGCGAUGCAAAGCGAUGGAGAUGGUGCGAAUCGGCAAUCUGAAAUUUUGAAGGGGGCUUUUGGCCAAUGGAUCGAAUGCUUCCCUUCAAUUUCUAUUCUGCUUCCGAGAGUUUACUAUAUAGUAUGAUGAUGCCAUUGUAAUUUCUGUGGAAUUGUUGACGUGCUGGAAUAUUAGUGGAGGCUGUUAAACUCAUACCUUCAGGCGGAUUGCUUCAAAGCGGAACUCUUGUAGUUAUAUAAUUUAUAA
RNA transcript from Juglans regia (Persian walnut), 695 nucleotides. RefSeq lists it as uncharacterized. Lineage: Eukaryota; Viridiplantae; Streptophyta; Magnoliopsida; Fagales; Juglandaceae. The transcript is spliced from 3 exons. The record is from RefSeq and is a predicted model, not a curated record.